This 414-nucleotide ribosomal RNA is filed under the name uncultured Gemmatimonadota bacterium. RNAcentral's name for it is "bacterial SSU rRNA". It matches the Rfam family "Bacterial small subunit ribosomal RNA", at positions 9 to 433 of the family's 1533-position model. The record is from RNAcentral. Lineage: Bacteria; Pseudomonadati; Gemmatimonadota.
GAGUUUGAUCUUGGCUCAGGACGAACGCUGGCGGCGUGCUUAACACAUGCAAGUCACGGGGGGUAGCAAUACCAACCGGCGAACGGGUGCGUAACACGUGAGCAACCUACCGAUUUGAGGGGGAUAGCUGGCCUAACGGCCAGGUAAUACCGCAUACGCUUUUCUGGUCACCUGACUGGGAAAGGAAACCUCCGGGGGCAGAUCGAGGGGCUCGCGGCCUAUCAGCUAGUUGGCGAGGUCACGGCUCACCAAGGCGACGACGGGUAGCUGGUCUGAGAGGAUGGCCAGCCACAUUGGGACUGAGAAACGGCCCAGACUCCUACGGGAGGCAGCAGUGGGGAAUCAUUCACAAUGGGCGAAAGCCUGAUGGUGCGACGCCGCGUGAGGGAUGAAGGUCUUCGGAUUGUAAACCUC